UAAUUUUGUAUACAUAUUGUUUUUUUCAUCAUAGCAUGUUUUUUAUAUUUAUGCUUUGUGUAAGUAAAAUGUUCAUAAAUCAUUCUUAUCUUUAAACUAAAAAUGUAUUUUGAUAUGCAAAAUGUCUGUAUGAUUUCAGUUGCCAGAGGUGAGUACCAUAACAGUUGAAAAGUUAGUUUUGUUUAGUUAAAGUUUUGGUUCACAGUUUUGUUUGUUAUUUGGCAAAAUUUACAUGUAUGCAUUGAGUCUUGAUUUCAGCUCGAUUGUGGACUGAAGAAGAUUGCCAGCAGAGGGAUUGGAUACAAAAUACAAACUUUACUGCUGGACGAGUGUUCUCAACUACUAGACGAGUCAGGUUUACUACCAGGCGAGCAGUGACAACAAGGCGCCUUUGUGGAAACAACACAACAAAAAACUCUACUGCAAGACGAGCAGUGACAGCAAGGCGCCUGAACAUGCAACACAAUACAAAAAAUGCCAAUUUGCAAACCUUGAUGUGGACACCGAGUAGUCAAUACAUACGUGUGGCGUAUAGCUGCGACAAAACCGUGGGUCCAUCGCACCGAUAACUUGAACAUUGGCCCGUGUAUGGACAUCAGUGCAACUUUGUGAAUCCAUGUAUCUUUGUGAAUCCAUGUAACAUUGCGAAUGUGUGUCGAUCGAAAAAUGUGUACAUUCUGAACUGAAACGAACUCGGUGUUGCAAGUGGCAAGUGUUGACAGUGUGUAUGUUUAUGUUUAUGUUUUUACAUGAAAACUAAAGGAGAUUGUUCUCCUACCUUUUUUUCCUUGUUUUAUUGCGCUGGCCAGCAAUAUUGAUGUAUUGAUGUAUGUGUUUGUGUUUAAACUAUGCAAUACCAAAAUCAAACAAAAAAUAAACAUUAACAGUCAUUAACUGUGUUUGGGCGGCCGAGGGGUUUAAGACUCCACAAGUGUGAAGCGCACUGAUAGCACUUGGGGGUGAACACCUCGGUAUUUCGGUGCUAAAAUGUUUUCACGGUGCUUAUCUUGACGCACUGUUAAGACUACCAACCAGUUAAUGAUUGCUUCAUCUUUAAACAAAAAGUAAGUCUCUACUUUGGCACAAGAGACUCCAAGUACCAAAUACCAACAAUUAAAAAGCAGACGUUUUUCAAAACUAUGAUCGCUGAGAUUGAUAGUCAGAUGGAGUCCUGCCCAGUUAGCUGUGUAGCGGUCUAGGGCGGGGUUGCAAGUCAAUACGAAAUGAGGCGCUAUAAAGCAACUCGUCCCCGUUAUGACCGUCAAUACUUUCGACACUAUCUGGGAAUCCUUUCAACACCACAUUGUUGCGCUGUUGGAAGGGUGGUAGGCACGCAUGGUGACAUGCCUGUGCUUUGCUAUGCGACACCAUGGUAUUUUCGUACGGUGACACGAAAUAUCUUAAUCUGGCUCUCUCAGAAACGCAGGCACGCGUUGACCGAACCUGACCGAUGACCGAGCAAUAACAUUUCUAUUAAGUGCUUCAAUGCACAAAGUCUGCUAGGGCUGGGGUGGGAA
This is a long non-coding RNA of Dreissena polymorpha, 1517 nucleotides long. RefSeq lists it as uncharacterized. The record is from RefSeq and is a predicted model, not a curated record. NCBI's taxonomy places the organism in Eukaryota, Metazoa, Mollusca, Bivalvia, Myida, Dreissenidae. The transcript is spliced from 4 exons.